AAGACCUAAUCUGAGAAGAGAGCCGCCCCUCCCCUUCAAAAUUCCAUCAUCUCUUUCUCUGAACUUAAGGAAAUAUUGCUGCAUCUCCAAGCCAAAACAGAACAGCCUGAGACUUCUUCUUCUUCCUUAAAACCUCACUAAUAAAAUAGCCAUGAACACCCUAAAAGAUGCUUCGAAUUGCAGCAAAACACCUCAAACAACUCCAAAAAAUGAGCUGAAAAACUGCCAUAAAAUCUCACAUUUUUUCACUUAAAACCAGCCCUCUUUUGCCCAUGAAACCAGUCCAAAAAUGACCUAAAACAACUCUAUUUCCUAGUGAAAUUAGAUGCAAAAUCAGCAGCAAAUCACCUCUGAAAAAACCAGCAAACUUCAGCCUUCAAAACCAUUGAAGACAGCCUAAAAACGGGCUGGAAAUCCAGCACCAAAUCCAUCCAAAAAACAGCCAUUAGCGCCACUUGAAAUGGCCCUAAACCAGCUGCAAAGAAUCAACCAAAUGUCCCUUAAACCGCAGCUCAAAUUGCUAUCAAUUUCGCCGCAAAAUAGUCCGUAAAUAGCCCCCCUAAAACCGGCGAGCUUUGAGGUUGUUGGCGAGGUUUCGUUCGUGGUUUCGACAAAGUUUUUCGUUCAUAGCUCCUGUCUCGGCCAAGCAAUAUGUAAUUGAGAUGCUAUGGUUGAAAGCAUUGUUUUACACUAAUUUUAUCUCCAUAUUCAUUUUGCUAGUUUAACGAAUGGUUUUUGAUAAAUUAUUGCUCUUCUGUUAGUUUGUCUUUCGUAGUAGUCUUAAUUAGUUAGUCUUUUGUCUUAUGCCAUAACUUGAUUUGCGAG
Molecule: long non-coding RNA, 825 nt
Filed under: Nicotiana tabacum (common tobacco)
Lineage: Eukaryota; Viridiplantae; Streptophyta; Magnoliopsida; Solanales; Solanaceae
Description: long non-coding RNA (NTAB_LNC006274)
Source: RNAcentral